RNAcentral lists this ribosomal RNA (246 nucleotides) under uncultured bacterium. Its description in RNAcentral is "partial 16S ribosomal RNA". It matches the Rfam family "Bacterial small subunit ribosomal RNA", at positions 524 to 775 of the family's 1533-position model. The record is from RNAcentral.
UACGGAGGGUGCAAGCGUUAUCCGGAUUUACUGGGUUUAAAGGGUGUGUAGGCGGGCUUUUAAGUCAGUGGUGAAAUCUCCGGGCUCAACCUGGAACUGCCAUUGAUACUAUUAGUCUUGAAUUUGUUGAGGUAGGCGGAAUAAGUCAUGUAGCGGUGAAUGCAUAGAUAUGACUUAGAACACCAAUUGCGAAGGCAGCUUGCUAACAAAUAUUGACGCUGAGGCACGAAAGCGUGGGAUCAACAG